GCACUGCUGAGGAGGAGUCCCAUAAUAGGACGAAACAGCCGUCCAGUGC
Molecule: non-coding RNA, 49 nt
Filed under: Schistosoma mansoni
Lineage: Eukaryota; Metazoa; Platyhelminthes; Trematoda; Strigeidida; Schistosomatidae
Source: RNAcentral